This 566-nucleotide ribosomal RNA is filed under the name uncultured bacterium. Its description in RNAcentral is "bacterial SSU rRNA". It matches the Rfam family "Bacterial small subunit ribosomal RNA", at positions 334 to 917 of the family's 1533-position model. The record is from RNAcentral.
UACUCCUACGGGAGGCAGCAGUGGGGAAUAUUGGACAAUGGACCAAGAGUCUGAUCCAGCAAUUCUGUGUGCACGAUGAAGUUUUUCGGAAUGUAAAGUGCUUUCAGUUGGGAAGAAAGAAAUGACGGUACCAACAGAAGAAGUGACGGCUAAAUACGUGCCAGCAGCCGCGGUAAUACGUAUGUCACGAGCGUUAUCCGGAUUUAUUGGGCGUAAAGCGCGUCUAGGUGGUUAUAUAAGUCUGAUGUGAAAAUGCAGGGCUCAACUCUGUAUUGCGUUGGAAACUGUAUAACUAGAGUACUGGAGAGGUAAGCGGAACUACAAGUGUAGAGGUGAAAUUCGUAGAUAUUUGUAGGAAUGCCGAUGGGGAAGCCAGCUUACUGGACAGAUACUGACGCUGAAGCGCGAAAGCGUGGGUAGCAAACAGGAUUAGAUACCCUGGUAGUCCACGCCGUAAACGAUGAUUACUAGGUGUUGGGGGUCGAACCUCAGCGCCCAAGCAAACGCGAUAAGUAAUCCGCCUGGGGAGUACGUACGCAAGUAUGAAACUCAAAUGAAUUGACGGA